Molecule: unclassified non-coding RNA, 211 nt
Filed under: plant metagenome
Description: partial contains small subunit ribosomal RNA, internal transcribed spacer 1, and 5.8S ribosomal RNA
Source: RNAcentral
UUUCCGUAGGUGAACCUGCGGAAGGAUCAUUCAUAAUAAAGUGUUUUAUGGCACUUUUUAAAAAUCCAUAUCCACCUUGUGUGCAAUGUUAGGUCUCGUCAAUCUUGGCGAGAUUUUUAUACAUCAACUCAUUUUUUAACUAAUUUGUCUGAAAAAUAUUAUGAAUACUUAAUUCAAAAUACAACUUUCAACAACGGAUCUCUUGGCUCUC